This 253-nucleotide ribosomal RNA is filed under the name uncultured bacterium. RNAcentral describes it as "partial 16S ribosomal RNA". It matches the Rfam family "Bacterial small subunit ribosomal RNA", at positions 524 to 776 of the family's 1533-position model. The record is from RNAcentral.
UACGGGGGGAGCAAGCGUUGUUCGGAUUUACUGGGUUUAAAGGGUGCGUAGGUGGGCAGGUAAGUCAGUGGUGAAAUCUCCGAGCUUAACUCGGAAACUGCCAUUGAUACUAUCUGUCUUGAAUAUCCUGGAGGUAAGCGGAAUAUGUCAUGUAGCGGUGAAAUGCUUAGAUAUGACAUAGAACACCAAUUGCGAAGGCAGCUUACUACGGGAUUAUUGACACUGAGGCACGAAAGCGUGGGGAUCAAACAGG